This 616-nucleotide ribosomal RNA is filed under the name Paraboea sp. 1 CP-2011. RNAcentral describes it as "eukaryotic LSU rRNA". The stretch from base 230 to 385 matches the Rfam family "5.8S ribosomal RNA". Lineage: Eukaryota; Viridiplantae; Streptophyta; Magnoliopsida; Lamiales; Gesneriaceae. The record is from RNAcentral.
UCGAAAUCCGAAAGGCAGACCCGAGAACAUGUUUGUAAAUGAAUCCGUGGGCACGACGCCGGAUGCCUCUGCGUCCGACGCCGUGGCCUCCGACCCCAGACGGCUCCAGUCGGUUGGGGGUACUAACCUCUGGGCGCGGCAAGCGCCAAGGAAAACCGAAAAACAGAAAGACGGCCUCCACCCCCCAUACGUGGAGGGGUGGGGGGCAUCUAUCGAAAUAAGUCGUAACGACUCUCGGCAACGGAUAUCUCGGCUCUCGCAUCGAUGAAGAACGUAGCGAAAUGCGAUACUUGGUGUGAAUUGCAGAAUCCCGUGAACCAUCGAGUCUUUGAACGCAAGUUGCGCCCGAAGCCAUCAGGCCGAGGGCACGUCUGCCUGGGCGUCACGCAUCUCGUCGCCCCCCGACAUCAUCCUCCCCCGGGGAGCGAUGCAUGGAAAGUGGGGGCGGAAAUUGGCCUCCCGUCGUCAGAGCGCGGCGGCCGGCCCAAAUGGGAAGCCGUGUCGAUGGAUGUCUCGCACGAUACGUGGUGGUUGGAUCGCUCAACUCGAAGCCCAUCGCGCGUGGCCAUCGACCCGGCGGCACGACCCGACGGCAUCGAAGGUGCCUACGACUGUA